This 85-nucleotide transfer RNA is filed under the name Candidatus Omnitrophota bacterium. RNAcentral's name for it is "tRNA-Leu". It matches the Rfam family "tRNA". From Rfam's summary of the family: Transfer RNA (tRNA) molecules are approximately 80 nucleotides in length. Their secondary structure includes four short double-helical elements and three loops (D, anti-codon, and T loops). The record is from RNAcentral. Lineage: Bacteria; Pseudomonadati; Candidatus Omnitrophota.
GCCGGGAUGGCGAAAUGGCAGACGCUACGGACUUAAAAUCCGUUGGAGAGUAAUCUCCAUGAGGGUUCGACUCCCUCUCCCGGCA